CGUGGAGAGAUAAUGGACAUGAAGAUCGAUGCCGCCGGCUGUGAGGAUCAGCCCCUCGCCAGAGAUCGCCUCUGUGCUCGCGCCAACGAUGAAGUCGAUGUCAUCCAUGAUAUCCGGGUUGCCGCCCUUGCCGAUCGCGAGGAUCUUGCCGUCGCGGAUACCGAUAUCCGCCUUGUAAAUGCCUGUAUAAUCAAUGACCGUGAUGCCACUGAUGAUCGUGUCCGCCACCUUCGGGUUG
This 238-nucleotide small RNA is filed under the name bovine gut metagenome. Its description in RNAcentral is "5' ureB small RNA". It matches the Rfam family "5' ureB small RNA", at positions 15 to 260 of the family's 292-position model. The record is from RNAcentral.